RNAcentral lists this ribosomal RNA (383 nucleotides) under uncultured bacterium. RNAcentral describes it as "bacterial SSU rRNA". It matches the Rfam family "Bacterial small subunit ribosomal RNA", at positions 30 to 410 of the family's 1533-position model. The record is from RNAcentral.
AUUGAACGCUGGCGGCAUGCCUUACACAUGCAAGUCGAACGGCAGCACGGGAGCUUGCUCCUGGUGGCGAGUGGCGAACGGGUGAGUAAUACAUCGGAACGUACCCUGAAGUGGGGGAUAACGUAGCGAAAGUUACGCUAAUACCGCAUAUUCUGUGAGCAGGAAAGAGGGGGAUCGCAAGACCUCUUGCUUUAGGAGCGGCCGAUGUCGGAUUAGCUAGUUGGUGAGGUAAAAGGCUCACCAAGGACGACGAUCCGUAGCGGGUCUGAGAGGAUGAUCCGCCACACUGGGACUGAGACACGGCCCAGACUCCUACGGGAGGCAGCAGUGGGGAAUUUUGGACAAAUGGCGCAAGCCUGAUCCAGCCAUGCGCGUGAGUGAAG